GAAGGAAAGUUUUUUAGUUUUUUAUUCACAUUUGUAUUGUAUAAAAUAGUAUUAUAGCAUAUAUAAAAAUGUGGUCUCUUGUUGUGUGGGAAGAGAAUGGUAAGUUCAUGGAAGAUGUAAUUCCACAUGUUUGGGUUGAAGGUGAUGUGCUUCGAUGGCCACCCGAAGGUCUUUCAGCUGACCGUGCCUCAUCAAAAAAAUUUUGAUGAGGCACAAACCUAAUUUUGAUAUAUCUGCAGGUACCAGUUUACUUUUAACAGUAAUUUUAUAAGAUGUUUUUCUCUGUUGUAUGAAAUUAAAUUUAAUAGUGUCUUCUUUAAACUUUCUUUAUGAUUUGUAAAAUAGUUUAUGUAUUGUUUAUUCAAUACGAUAAAAAUGGAGUUAAAAAAAGUGGGUUUAAAAGAGUGAUUUUUUUUCUUAUCGUUGCAGUAAGCGUGUCUGAUGAUGGUUCAGAGGAUAAGGAAUUUAUUCUUAUGUCAAAUACAAGUUUUCAACGCUCAGUUCUUUCUUUUCAACAAAACGUUGUUCGAUGGAUGCGCAACAACAGGUGCUGCAGUGGGAACAGUUUAAUUAGCAAUUAACUGUUCGUUGGUUAAUGAUACGGACGUGAUCACCACUAUCGAUGAGUAUAUGGAAUUUGAACAAAAUCUAUUGGAUGACUCGUUUCUAUCUGUAAAACUGACGCAACUUCGCCUUGUUGGAGGAUACGAUUGGAGAGAUUGCGUCAAGAGCCUCGUGAAACGUGUUAUGAGCAGAGAUGUAAUGGCUAAUUUAAACAUGUAGGGUCAUGGUAAAGGAACAAAUAAAAAAAUUAAAUUUGCAGAUUCAAUAGUAUACCGCCUUCUAUACAAUGCUGUGCUUCAUAACUUUCCAAAAACAACUGAAGCUGAGUUUUACAAGAUAAUUCAAAACGUUUUAAGAAAUGCUCCAGCACGCAAGAACACUGAACUAAAAUUAUAAUAUUUAAUAGUUUCAUUUUAA
Molecule: long non-coding RNA, 981 nt
Organism: Hydra vulgaris (swiftwater hydra)
Lineage: Eukaryota; Metazoa; Cnidaria; Hydrozoa; Anthoathecata; Hydridae
Source: RefSeq, a predicted model, not a curated record